RNAcentral lists this ribosomal RNA (465 nucleotides) under uncultured bacterium. RNAcentral describes it as "partial 16S ribosomal RNA". It matches the Rfam family "Bacterial small subunit ribosomal RNA", at positions 28 to 507 of the family's 1533-position model. The record is from RNAcentral.
GACGAACGCUGGCGGCGUGCUUAACACAUGCAAGUCGAACGGAAAGGCCCCUUUGGGGGUACUCGAGUGGCGAACGGGUGAGUAACACGUGAGUAACCUGCCCUUGACUUCGGGAUAACUUCAGGAAACUGGGGCUAAUACCGGAUAGGAAUCCUUGCUGCAUGGUGGGGGUUGGAAAGCUUCGGCGGUUUUGGAUGGACUCGCGGCUUAUCAGCUUGUUGGUGGGGUAGUGGCUUACCAAGGCUUUGACGGGUAGCCGGCCUGGGAGGGCGACCGGCCACAUUGGGACUGGGAUUCGGCCCAGACUCCUACGGGAGGCAGCAGGGGGGAAUAUUGCACAAUGGGCGGGAGCCUGAUGCAGCAACGCCGCGUGCGGGAUGACGGCCUUCGGGUUGUAAACCGCUUUCAGCAGGGGCGAAGCUUGUGGUGACGGUACCUGCAGAAGAAGCACCGGCUAACUACGUG